AUGGCAUCCUCGAGAAGGUUGCUGGCGGUGGCUUUGCUGGCGAUGCUGGUCGCCGGCGCUUGGUGCGCGGCCCCGGUGACAUUCACGGUGGAGAAGGGGUCGGACACGGGGUCAGGCAAGAAGCAGCUGGCGGUGCUGGUGAGUUACGACAUGCCAGGCGACACCAUGUCGGAGCUGGAGAUCAUGCAGCACGACGCCGACGACUGGGUGGCCAUGACCAAGGGCGAGGGCGGCCUGUGGACCUUCGAGAGCGCCGAUCCGCUCGUGGGCCCCUUCAACUUCCGCUACUUCACUAAGAAAGGCUUGAAGAACGUCUACGACAACGUCAUCCCCGACAACUACACCAUCGGCACCACCUAUACACCUCAAGGGUAG
This 375-nucleotide ribosomal RNA is filed under the name Triticum aestivum (bread wheat). RNAcentral describes it as "partial small subunit ribosomal RNA". Lineage: Eukaryota; Viridiplantae; Streptophyta; Magnoliopsida; Poales; Poaceae. The record is from RNAcentral.